AGUCUGCAACCCGAACUCCGUGAAGCUGGAUUCGCUAGUAAUCGCGCAUCAGCCAUGGCGCGGUGAAUACGUUCCCGGGCCUUGUACACACCGCCCGUCAAGCCAUGGAAGCCGGGGGUGCCUGAAGUGCGCUGCCGCGAGGAGCGCCCUAGGGUAAAACCGGUGACUGGGGCUAAGUCGUAACAAGGUAUC
Molecule: ribosomal RNA, 192 nt
Filed under: uncultured bacterium
Lineage: Bacteria
Description: partial 16S ribosomal RNA
Rfam family: Bacterial small subunit ribosomal RNA
Source: RNAcentral